This 293-nucleotide ribosomal RNA is filed under the name uncultured eukaryote. RNAcentral describes it as "partial 18S ribosomal RNA". It matches the Rfam family "Eukaryotic small subunit ribosomal RNA", at positions 6 to 302 of the family's 1831-position model. The record is from RNAcentral.
GGUUGAUCCUGCCAGUAGUCAUAUGCUUGUCUCAAAGAUUAAGCCAUGCAUGUCUAAGUAUAAGCAAUCUAUACGGUGAAACUGCGAAUGGCUCAUUAAAUCAGUUAUCGUUUAUUUGAUAGUACCUUGCUACAUGGAUACCUGUGGUAAUUCUAGAGCUAAUACAUGCUAAAAACCUCGACUUCGGAAGGGGUGUAUUUAUUAGAUAAAAAACCAAUGCCCUUCGGGGCUCCUUGGUGAUUCAUAAUAACUUAACGAAUCGCAUGGCCUUGCGCCGGCGAUGGUUCAUUCAA